RNAcentral lists this long non-coding RNA (1206 nucleotides) under Oryctolagus cuniculus (rabbit). RNAcentral describes it as "lncRNA (ENSOCUG00000032190.1)". The record is from RNAcentral. Lineage: Eukaryota; Metazoa; Chordata; Mammalia; Lagomorpha; Leporidae.
AUGGCCCAAGUGCUUGGGCCCUGCACCCCAUGGGAGACCAGGAUAAGUACCUGGCUCCUGCCAUUGGAUCAGCGUGGUGCGCCGACCGCAGCACACCGGCCACGGUGGCCAUUGGAGGGUGAACCAACGGCAAAGGAAGACCUUUCUCUCUGUCUCUCUCUCUCUCACUGUCCAUUCUGCCUGUCAAAAAAAAAAAAAAGGAUAGGUCCUGACAAUGACUGGGCUGGGGCGGGGCAGGGAGAGCAGAGGCAGAGGGGCCACGGCCGGUGCCCCAGAGAGAUGUGGGUGGCCGCAGGUGGCUCCCAAGAGUGGGGGGUGAGGUGCACGGACACAGCCAGGGGCCUCGGCACUCCCGGCACUGUCUCCCUGCAUCCUCACACCCUGAGCAGGUGCUGGCUGCCUCAUCCCCAGCUACAGAGCAGCAAACUGAGGUUGUGUCGGGAGCCACAUGGCCACCAGGAGGCAGAUCCCCCACCAAGGACAUCCAUCUGCCCAUCUUCCAAGACAGAGAGCGGUUCCAACCAGCAGCCAAACGCACCUUUCCCACUGCUCUGCCGGGCACGCUGGCUCCCAGUCUUGGGUCCACAGAAGCUAUCUGGCCUGGCUGCCCACACCCACCCGCUGCCAUCUCUCUGCAACUCCACCUCCCUCAGUCCGCCAGGCCUCAGCUCUGCUAACCCCCAGCACACUGGCCUAUGCCCACAGCCAGAUCCUCACGAGCACCUAAAGCAGAAGAGAAAGCCAGCGUGUGCCCAUGGCCAGGGUAAGUCUGCAUGGGCCGAGGCCACGCCCCCCGCUGUUCCUGCAAGGACCCAGGGUUCCCACUCGGGUGGAAAGAGAAAAGAUCUCUUUGUGCCCGGGCUGGUGAAAGUGCGUCUGUUUAGAGCAGACUGCAAAGGGGGGGUGAUCAGACUUGGCUGCGGCUGCCCCCAGGGGAGGAGAGAGGUUUUGGGGAAGCACAGAGGGGAAGCACCCAGAGCAGUUGCUGCUUCCCCGAGAGGUGAGGCUAUCUGGGUGACGUUUGCAGGGACAGGGGAGGAGGGGGGCGCUUUGCUCGGUGUUUGGCGGAGUGGUUGGGGGGAGAGGGGAGCAAGUCUGCCCUUGAUGUUCGGGAUCAGGGGAGGGAGCAGAGGGCAGGAUUUUGCUCAGGAGUUCUGGGGGGAGUAUUUUUUUCCUCUUGGAGGAAAAAAAAAUAAAACAAAAUGA